Molecule: ribosomal RNA, 784 nt
Filed under: uncultured Actinomyces sp.
Lineage: Bacteria; Bacillati; Actinomycetota; Actinomycetes; Actinomycetales; Actinomycetaceae
Description: bacterial SSU rRNA
Rfam family: Bacterial small subunit ribosomal RNA
Source: RNAcentral
CGAAAAUACCAAGCUUGCUUGGUUGAUUAGUGGCGAACGGGUGAGUAACACGUGAGUUACCUGCCCCUUACUUUCCUGGAUAACUGCUCGAAAGGGUAGCUAAUACGGGAUAUUCUGACCGGCCUGCAUGGGUUGGUUUGGAAAGGUUGUUUUUCUGGUAAGGGAUGGGCUCGCGGCCUAUCAGCUUGUUGGUGGGGUGAUGGCCUACCAAGGCUUUGACGGGUAGCCGGCCUGAGAGGGUGGACGGGUCACACUGGGACUGAGAUACGGCCCAGACUCCUACGGGAGGCAGCAGUUGGGAAUAUUGCACAAUGGGCGCAAGCUGUAUGCAGCGACGCCGCGUGAGGGAUGAAGGCCUUCGGGUUGUAAACCUCUUUCGUCAGGGAACAAGGCACUGUCUUUUUGGUGGUGUUGAGGGUACCUGGAUAAGAAGCGCCGGCUAACUACGUGCCGGCAGCCGCGGUAAUACGUAGGGCGCAAGCGUUGUCCGGAAUUAUUGGGCGUAAAGAGCUCGUAGGCGGCUGGUCGCGUCUGUCGUGAAAACUUCCGGCUCAACCGGGGGCUUGCGGUGGGUACGGGCCGGCUAGAGUGCGGUAGGGGUAACUGGAACUCCUGGUGUAGCGGUGGAAUGCGCAGAUAUCAGGAAGAACACCGAUGGCGAAGGCAGGUUACUGGGCCGUUACUGACGCUGAGGAGCGAAAGCGUGGGGAGCGAACAGGAUUAGAUACCCUGGUAGUCCACGCCGUAAACGUUGGGCACUAGGUGUGAGGCUCCUUUCCGGGGG